Molecule: long non-coding RNA, 440 nt
Filed under: Gallus gallus (chicken)
Lineage: Eukaryota; Metazoa; Chordata; Aves; Galliformes; Phasianidae
Source: RNAcentral
GGAGUUCCUUUGGGAUGGUCACCUCAUCAGAGGCUGCAUAAUCUGCCACGUUCAGCCCUUCUACAUACUGUACCAGCGACAGCUUGAAAUCCUUCUCUCGAAACAAAUCAUUGCCCUCUGCAAACAAAUUUCUCACCAGCUUCUGCAAGACAGCCUCAUAAUCUUCUUGGCUUAGGGGUAAUGUAGACUGAAUUAAUUGAAGUCCUUUCUCUAUUUCUUGUUUUCUCUUCUGUCUCUCCAUUACAAUCGCUCUCCUCGGGUUCUCCCCCCCACGCUAUGUAUAACUUUCCUCGAUAAAUGGUAUUAUAUUACUAGAGGUAUUAUUAACGUAUUAUUACUAUAAGUAAUAAUAACAGUAAGUGCUAUUUAAUUAUAGGAGGGAGCAUUCUGCUUGUGGAUCGGCUGCCCCUGCAGCUCCCUCCAUGUGCCUCCUGAGCUCU